Molecule: ribosomal RNA, 421 nt
Filed under: uncultured bacterium
Lineage: Bacteria
Description: bacterial SSU rRNA
Rfam family: Bacterial small subunit ribosomal RNA
Source: RNAcentral
UGAGGAAUAUUGGUCAAUGGGGGCAACCCUGAACCAGCCAAGUCGCGUGAAGGAUGAAGGUCUUAUGGAUUGUAAACUUCUUUUACACGGGAAUAAAGUGGGGGACGUGUCCCCCUUUGCAUGUACCGUGUGAAUAAGGAUCGGCUAACUCCGUGCAGCAGCCGCGGUAAUACGGAGGAUCCGAGCGUUAUCCGGAUUUAUUGGGUUUAAAGGGUGCGCAGGCGGGAUGUUAAGUCGGCGGUGAAAUUUUGCAGCUCAACUGUAAAAGUGCCUGCGAUACUGGCCUCCCUGAGUGUGGAUGAAGUAGGCGGAAUUUGUGGUGUGGCGGUGAAAUGCUUGGAUAUCACGAGGAACUCCGAUUGCGCAGGCAGCUUACUAAGCCACAACUGACGCUCAUGCACGAAGGCGUGAGGAUCAAACA